Molecule: small nuclear RNA, 103 nt
Filed under: Choloepus hoffmanni (Hoffmann's two-fingered sloth)
Lineage: Eukaryota; Metazoa; Chordata; Mammalia; Pilosa; Megalonychidae
Source: RNAcentral
AUGCUCAUUUCAGCAGCAUACAUACUACAAUUGGAAUGCUACAAGAUUAGCAUGACCCCUACACAAUGGUGACAAGCAAAUUUGUGAAAUGAUUGUUGGAUGC